This 253-nucleotide ribosomal RNA is filed under the name uncultured bacterium. RNAcentral's name for it is "partial 16S ribosomal RNA". It matches the Rfam family "Bacterial small subunit ribosomal RNA", at positions 524 to 776 of the family's 1533-position model. The record is from RNAcentral.
UACGUAGGGAGCAAGCGUUGUCCGGAAUCAUUGGGCGUAAAGCGCGCGUAGGUGGCUCUGUAAGUCCGCUCUGAAAGUCGAAGGCUCAACCUUCGAAAGCGGGUGGAUACUGCAGGGCUAGAGUCCGGAAGAGGCGAGUGGAAUUCCUGGUGUAGCGGUGGAAUGCGCAGAUAUCAGGAGGAACACCAACGGCGAAGGCAGCUCGCUGGGACGGUACUGACACUGAGGCGCGAAAGCGUGGGGAGCAAACAGG